RNAcentral lists this long non-coding RNA (2910 nucleotides) under Betta splendens (Siamese fighting fish). RNAcentral describes it as "lncRNA (ENSBSLG00000021768.1)". Lineage: Eukaryota; Metazoa; Chordata; Actinopteri; Anabantiformes; Osphronemidae. The record is from RNAcentral.
AUGGCAGGAAGCGGCAGGCCUCCAGCGAGCCGUGAUCCAAGCAGAACCUCGCCGAGCGUCGCCGGGGAUGAGACCCACACCACCCAAUGGCCUUCACACAGUCUCAGCCAGAGCUCUGAGACGCCCUCAUCGCCACAUACGGAAGACGGGAUCCUCCCCCCAAACUCAGGUCUGACAUCCACCGCGCCACCACCGCCGUCAUCCUCUUCAUCUUCAUCGUCACAGUCUUCAUCGGCUCCACCCACCUCCUCUGCGUUGCCGCCUUUUGCGGCUCCUCCUUCGCCUCCUGCUGCGUGGAUGAAGAAAGCGGUGUCAUCUCCAGGUCCAAGGACAGAAGCAGCGACAGGUUCUGUGGGCUGGUCAGACCGCCGGACGACCGCCCAGUCCAGCGGUCCCUCUGACCCACCAGCUGUUACCCCGGGACUAGAACCCAGCACUGAAGUGACAAACCUUCACUUUUACAGUCAACACCUUCAUCAGCAUUUAAACGAAGCCGCUCAGAACCAGCGCCCAGGUAAUGCAGAAAUGAGCCCCUCCGGUCAAGAAGGUCGGGAUGCUGAGAGGCAGCAGGCUUCAGCCGCUCCCACAGCAGCUCUGCAGUCGCACACCUUAAAUCACACGGCCCGUAUGGAAGCGGAAGGCCGGGCAGCGGCCGCCAGCCGAGCUUAUGUUCACAGAACCACCGGGGAUACAAUCGCGCCGCCCCUGGCUUCACAUGCUGUAAAUCCAGACGCAUCACCAGCAAUAAUGUUGAGGCCGCCCGGCUCAUUUGUUACGGUUUCCCCCGACCCGCCACCAGGUAGAGCGUCUUUCUUCGAAUUGGCAAUAACUAAGCUAGCGCCCGUCCGCUUCGGCACGCCGCCCUCAGCGCAUGCAUCUAAUCCCGGUGAUUUACUGACGGCAGCGGGUCACGACAGCCCCAGAGUCUCUGCCAUCAAUAUGAAUCACAGCCGGGGAGUGGCAGCGGCAGACGAGCCCCGGCCUAUUUCCACUCCAGCUCACCGGAAUCACUCACUUUCACUCACUCAGACGAGGCCCCAGUCCGCCGGUGUUCCCCUCCUCAGGUCCAGCACCGCGGCGAAAACCGCCCCCCACGCGCCAGAUUCAGGUUCACCCGGUUUUACGAGAAACUAUCAAGGUUUCGGAUCACAAACCGAGAUGCCGACGCGCACAAGUCAGGUGCCAGCGGUACUUUCAACUAAAAUUAAGACGAUUUAUCUUUCUGGUUCAGCAAAUGAUAAAAGCUAUAAAACCAGUCCAGCCAGAACUUAUUUAUUUCCCUCAUCUGUCAGCCACCGUCCACACCAUCACUCUGCUGACAGCGCUGGCCUUUCUGCCUAUAGUCAGGUCACAUUUGCAGAGCGGUCGCCGUCCACACCAUCUCCCCUGGUUUCCCACAUUCUUAAUACGCCAUCUACUAGAUCUCAACGGGCCGAGCCGCCGGCUGUUUCCGCUGGUCACAGCGUUCAUUCCACUGCUGAUGUGGAAACAAGCGAAGGAAACGAGCGAACGCCGGCGUCUGCUAGCGUUCACAUGUCACGUGGAGCGAAGGCUGCUGGGAGCUUCCAUGCUAAUCCUCUCACAACACAGUUUCCAGGUGUCAUCACUACAAAAGGCGUCUUUACGCUAAAUGGCUCUGAAAGGUCUCCUAAUGAGAAGCGUUUUACUCCAGCGACUUCCGGCGCGGCGUUCGCGGGCGGUUAUGAGCGGUCGCCUGCUUCCUCCUGGUCAGAAAUCAUCAGGGCUGCUUCCAGCUCACAGGGUCCAAUCACUAGCAUGAGCGGUGGUGGAUCUGGUGGAGAGAGUGUUACUGACACACUGAGGGCUAUUUUCAGCUUUGGCACCAAACCAACGGCGCCCGAUACAAAGUGGAAAGCCACCAGGCCGGCGGCUUUUCAAAGCAAGGCCUUUGAAUCACAAAACACAUCCACCGGCUUUGAUGGGGCAAAUUCCAAUUCCGCAGCAGAUGGCCCAUCUGCUGAACAUUCAACGCUGGGCCGCGAACAAGAGCGCAAUGUUCUCAUGCUGGAUUCAAGCGAUCCGGCGCUCGUCACCCGCGUCCCACAUUGGGGGCGUCCAACCGUAGGAGAGUGCCCUUCUUCCGCGUAUGCUAAAGGAUCGGCGUCUGAAGAGCGGACUGCGAGUUUAGCUCCAGCGAAUCACGGAGGAGCCACCGGAAACCCCCCUGCUGCCGCCCCGCGGGGCUCCGGAGGGUUCCUGCCCCCCUCUCGAGUUGCCACCGACCCUGUCAUGCUUUCCUCCUCCACCUUGACCGCUCCUGAGGCGAACAGGGUGGCCGCACAUGAAUCACCAUUACCAUCAUCAUCAUCAUCAUCGUCAUCAUCAUCAUCAUCAUCAAAAGCCCUCUCACACACCACCCACACGUUUGUUGUCCCCACAGAGGCGGAUGAGGCGACGUCCAGAGCAGUCGCCCUCACCUUCCCCAAAGACAAGGAGGCCGGUCUGGUCCCCUCUGAUCGGGGCAGAACUACGCUUUCUGCCGGGCCCACGGAGAGGACAUCUCAGGUAGCACCCAUGUCCCCUCGGCAGGACACCACGACGGCCUCUGUGAAGCUCGCCACCACAACUGUAGAUCCAACCGCCGCCACCCGAAGCGCUACCACUCGCAUGCCUUCCUCCAGCGUGAGCACCACCACCACAGCGCAGCCCGGCCCGGUGACCAGGAGAACCACCACCAGCGCCGCCGCCACCGCCAGGACCCAAACCGGCCGGAGGACGUUCACGCCGCCCGCGCCGAGGACGACCCCCCCCCGAGGCGCCGCCACCACCGUGGUGUCUCCCUUCACCACCACCACGGAGGUCCCGCCACAGCAGUGCAACAUCACCGAGCGAAUGUGGGUGAAAACAGGUACAGUGAAGGUGCUUCAGUGGCAGCAGCAGGAUGAAUGA